This 150-nucleotide ribosomal RNA is filed under the name Escherichia coli. RNAcentral's name for it is "partial 16S ribosomal RNA". It matches the Rfam family "Bacterial small subunit ribosomal RNA", at positions 1 to 142 of the family's 1533-position model. The record is from RNAcentral. RNAcentral also lists the same sequence under 2 other names. Lineage: Bacteria; Pseudomonadati; Pseudomonadota; Gammaproteobacteria; Enterobacterales; Enterobacteriaceae.
UUAAAUUGAAGAGUUUGAUCAUGGCUCAGAUUGAACGCUGGCGGCAGGCCUAACACAUGCAAGUCGAACGGUAACAGGAAGCAGCUUGCUGUUUCGCUGACGAGUGGCGGACGGGUGAGUAAUGUCUGGGAAACUGCCUGAUGGAGGGGG